RNAcentral lists this ribosomal RNA (1557 nucleotides) under Staphylococcus aureus. RNAcentral's name for it is "bacterial SSU rRNA". It matches the Rfam family "Bacterial small subunit ribosomal RNA". Lineage: Bacteria; Bacillati; Bacillota; Bacilli; Caryophanales; Staphylococcaceae. The record is from RNAcentral.
UUUAUGGAGAGUUUGAUCCUGGCUCAGGAUGAACGCUGGCGGCGUGCCUAAUACAUGCAAGUCGAGCGAACGGACGAGAAGCUUGCUUCUCUGAUGUUAGCGGCGGACGGGUGAGUAACACGUGGAUAACCUACCUAUAAGACUGGGAUAACUUCGGGAAACCGGAGCUAAUACCGGAUAAUAUUUUGAACCGCAUGGUUCAAAAGUGAAAGACGGUCUUACUGUCACUUAUAGAUGGAUCCGCGCUGCAUUAGCUAGUUGGUAAGGUAACGGCUUACCAAGGCAACGAUGCAUAGCCGACCUGAGAGGGUGAUCGGCCACACUGGAACUGAGACACGGUCCAGACUCCUACGGGAGGCAGCAGUAGGGAAUCUUCCGCAAUGGGCGAAAGCCUGACGGAGCAACGCCGCGUGAGUGAUGAAGGUCUUCGGAUCGUAAAACUCUGUUAUUAGGGAAGAACAUAUGUGUAAGUAACUGUGCACAUCUUGACGGUANCUAAUCAGAAAGCCACGGCUAACUACGUGCCAGCAGCCGCGGUAAUACGUAGGUGGCAAGCGUUNUCCGGANUUAUUGGGCGUAAAGCGNGCGCAGGCGGUUUNUUAAGUCUGAUGUGAAAGCCCCCGGCUCAACCGGGGAGGGUCAUUGGAAACUGGGAGACUUGAGUGCAGAAGAGGAGAGUGGAAUUCCAUGUGUAGCGGUGAAAUGCGUAGAUAUAUGGAGGAACACCAGUGGCGAAGGCGGCUCUCUGGUCUGUAACUGACGCUGAGGCUCGAAAGCGUGGGGAGCAAACAGGAUUAGAUACCCUGGUAGUCCACGCCGUAAACGAUGAGUGCUAAGUGUUGGAGGGUUUCCGCCCUUCAGUGCUGCAGCAAACGCAUUAAGCACUCCGCCUGGGGAGUACGACCGCAAGGUUGAAACUCAAAGGAAUUGACGGGGGCCCGCACAAGCGGUGGAGCAUGUGGUUUAAUUCGAAGCAACGCGAAGAACCUUACCAGGUCUUGACAUCCUUUGACCACUCUAGAGAUAGAGCUUUCCCUUCGGGGACAAAGUGACAGGUGGUGCAUGGUUGUCGUCAGCUCGUGUCGUGAGAUGUUGGGUUAAGUCCCGCAACGAGCGCAACCCUUAUUGUUAGUUGCCAUCAUUNAGUUGGGCACUCUAGCGAGACUGCCGGUGACAAACCGGAGGAAGGUGGGGAUGACGUCAAAUCAUCAUGCCCCUUAUGACCUGGGCUACACACGUGCUACAAUGGGAAGUACAACGAGUCGCUAGACCGCGAGGUCAUGCAAAUCUCUUAAAGCUUCUCUCAGUUCGGAUUGCAGGCUGCAACUCGCCUGCAUGAAGCCGGAAUCGCUAGUAAUCGCGGAUCAGCACGCCGCGGUGAAUACGUUCCCGGGCCUUGUACACACCGCCCGUCACACCACGAGAGUUUGUAACACCCGAAGNCGGUGNNGUAACCUUUUNGGAGCNAGCCGNCNAAGGUGGGACANAUGAUUGGGGUGAAGUCGUAACAAGGUAGCCGUAUCGGAAGGUGCGGCUGGAUCACCUCCUUUCUAAGGA